This 165-nucleotide unclassified non-coding RNA is filed under the name rhizosphere metagenome. RNAcentral describes it as "partial ribosomal RNA internal transcribed spacer region". The record is from RNAcentral.
GAAUUCUGGGAGUCCCUCUUAACCGGAGAAGGCCUGGUCCACUAUCUCAAACCCUAGUGCAUUUGUCCCCUUUUUUCGACACCCUUUUGCAUUUUAAACAAGUUGUUGAUAAUAAAAACAUUUGAUAAUGAAAGAAAAACUUUCAGCAAUGGAUCUCUUGGCUCU